AGACUAACUUUUCAAAACCAUUCACUUAAGGAUAAAACACAAUGGUUGGAAAACACUUUAAAGAAGAGCACUAAAGAGCAGUUUGGGUUUUUUAUGGAUUCUCAUUUAAAUAUGUGCUGUUGCGUUAGCACCUUAUCAGCACAUAGGAAAAAGAUCUGAACGGCAUGAAAGAAGUUCUGGAAAUGAAGAAUGAUUUGAUUCGGAAAAAGGACAAAAGUAUCAUGGAACCGGAAAAGCUGAUGGGUUUCCUUUUAUAAAUACCAGCGAUAGCCGAUAUAUUUUAAUAUUUUGUCCUGCGUAGUCACAACUAUGCCCACCACUUCCAUUAGGAAAAAUGAUGUUAUUGUUGGGUAGUCAUGAUGUCAAGUCAUGCGAUGAUAUUUGGGACAACUAAGAUCACAUUGGGAUAAUAAGUAAAUUAUGUACACAUUUGAAAUCUUUAUUUCUGUUUCUUGCUAUAGGCUCAGACACGGUACAAGAGAAAAAAAAGAUCCAGGUGCUCCAGAAGCAAAAGGAAGACCAGAUUCAGCAAAACAUUGAAGUGAGAAGGAGAAUGGAAAAGAAAGUCAGGGAAUGUC
Long non-coding RNA from Spea bombifrons (plains spadefoot toad), 578 nucleotides. RefSeq lists it as uncharacterized. Lineage: Eukaryota; Metazoa; Chordata; Amphibia; Anura; Pelobatidae. The transcript is spliced from 3 exons. The record is from RefSeq and is a predicted model, not a curated record.